RNAcentral lists this small RNA (127 nucleotides) under Marmota monax (woodchuck). The record is from RNAcentral. Lineage: Eukaryota; Metazoa; Chordata; Mammalia; Rodentia; Sciuridae.
GUUGGGCGUGGUGGCUCAUGCCUGUAAUUCCAGCACCUUGGGAGGCUGAGGCAGGAGAAUCACAAGUUCAAAGUUAGCCUCAGUAACUUAGUGAGACCCUAAGCAACUCAGCAAGACCCUGCCUCUA